ACGCUAGCUAUAGGCUUAACACAUGCAAGUCGAGGGGAAACGGCAUUAUGUGCUUGCACAUUUUGGACGUCGACCGGCGCACGGGUGAGUAUCGCGUAUCCAACCUUCCCUCCACUCGGGGAUACCCCGUUGAAAGACGGCCUAAUACCCGAUGUUGUCCACAUAUGGCAUCUGACGUGGACCAAAGAUUCAUCGGUGGAGGAUGGGGAUGCGUCUGAUUAGCUUGUUGGUGCGGGUAACGGCCCACCAAGGCUACGAUCAGUAGGGGUUCUGAGAGGAAGGUCCCCCACAUUGGAACUGAGACACGGUCCAAACUCCUACGGGAGGCAGCAGUGAGGAAUAUUGGUCAAUGGACGUAAGUCUGAACCAGCCAAGUAGCGUGCAGGAUUGACGGCCCUAUGGGUUGUAAACUGCUUUUGUUGGGGAGUAAAGUGAGGCACGCGUGCCUUUUUGCAUUUACCCUUCGAAUAAGGACCGGCUAAUUCCGUGCCAGCAGCCGCGGUAAUACGGAAGGUCCAGGCGUUAUCCGGAUUUAUUGGGUUUAAAGGGAGUGUAGGCGGUCCGUUAAGCGUGUUGUGAAAUUUAGGUGCUCAACAUCUACCUUGCAGCGCGAACUGGCGGACUUGAGUGCACGCAACGUAUGCGGAAUUCAUGGUGUAGCGGUGAAAUGCUUAGAUAUCAUGACGAACUCCGAUUGCGAUGGCAGCGUACGGGAGUGUUACUGACGCUUAAGCUCGAAGGUGCGGGUAUCGAACAGGAUUAGAUACCCUGGUAGUCCGCACGGUAAACGAUGGAUGCCCGCUGUUAGCGCCUGGCGUUAGCGGCUAAGCGAAAGCAUUAAGCAUCCCACCUGGGGAGUACGCCGGCAACGGUGAAACUCAAAGGAAUUGACGGGGGCCCGCACAAGC
RNAcentral lists this ribosomal RNA (908 nucleotides) under uncultured bacterium. RNAcentral's name for it is "bacterial SSU rRNA". It matches the Rfam family "Bacterial small subunit ribosomal RNA", at positions 33 to 930 of the family's 1533-position model. The record is from RNAcentral.